CCUACGGGCGGCAGCAGUGGGGAAUAUUGGACAAUGGGCGAAAGCCUGAUCCAGCCAUGCCGCGUGUGUGAAGAAGGCCUUCGGGUUGUAAAGCACUUUCAGUGGGGAAGAAAGCCUUGGGGCUAAUACCCUCGAGGAAGGACAUCACCCACAGAAGAAGCACCGGCUAACUCCGUGCCAGCAGCCGCGGUAAUACGGAGGGUGCGAGCGUUAAUCGGAAUUACUGGGCGUAAAGCGCGCGUAGGCGGUCUGAUAAGCCGGUUGUGAAAGCCCCGGGCUCAACCUGGGAACGGCAUCCGGAACUGUCAGGCUAGAGUGCAGGAGAGGAAGGUAGAAUUCCCGGUGUAGCGGUGAAAUGCGUAGAGAUCGGGAGGAAUAGCAGUGGCGAAGGCGGCCUUCUGGACUGACACUGACGCUGAGGUGCGAAAGCGUGGGUAGCAAACAGGAUUAGAUACCCGUGUAGUC
Molecule: ribosomal RNA, 465 nt
Filed under: Vreelandella stevensii
Lineage: Bacteria; Pseudomonadati; Pseudomonadota; Gammaproteobacteria; Oceanospirillales; Halomonadaceae
Description: partial 16S ribosomal RNA
Rfam family: Bacterial small subunit ribosomal RNA
Source: RNAcentral